Helianthus annuus (common sunflower) is the source of this 219-nucleotide long non-coding RNA. RefSeq lists it as uncharacterized. The transcript is spliced from 3 exons. The record is from RefSeq and is a predicted model, not a curated record. Lineage: Eukaryota; Viridiplantae; Streptophyta; Magnoliopsida; Asterales; Asteraceae.
GCUUAUUGUGGGAAGGAAAAGUUCCAUAUGCUCAAUGUAUUGAACUUAUUGAUGAUGACUUAUGCAACUGCAGGAGUCUGAAUCUUCUUCGAACACAAGAGUUAUGGAUCCUAAAAACAACGCUCCAAUCGUUUUUAAAGUUGAUUGAUGACUAUCAUCCUAUAUUUUUGGAAAUACCGUAUAAUGAGCGACCUUAUUGUGGGAAAGAAAAGUUCCAUA